Molecule: transfer RNA, 73 nt
Filed under: Desmophyllum pertusum
Lineage: Eukaryota; Metazoa; Cnidaria; Anthozoa; Scleractinia; Caryophylliidae
Description: tRNA-Arg
Source: RNAcentral
GAUGCGGUGGCCUAAUGGUUAGCACGUUGGACUUCGGAUCGAGCGGUCUGGGUUCUAGCCCCGGCCAGGGUCA